RNAcentral lists this ribosomal RNA (358 nucleotides) under uncultured bacterium. RNAcentral's name for it is "bacterial SSU rRNA". It matches the Rfam family "Bacterial small subunit ribosomal RNA", at positions 1018 to 1378 of the family's 1533-position model. The record is from RNAcentral.
CUUCGGGGACAAGUGACAGGUGGUGCAUGGUUGUCGUCAGCUCGUGUCGUGAGAUGUUGGGUUAAGUCCCGCAACGAGCGCAACCCUUAUUACUAGUUGCCAGCAUUUAGUUGGGCACUCUAGUGAGACUGCCGGUGACAAACCGGAGGAAGGUGGGGACGACGUCAAAUCAUCAUGCCCCUUAUGACCUGGGCUACACACGUGCUACAAUGGAUGGUACAACGAGUUGCGAGACCGCGAGGUUUAGCUAAUCUCUUAAAACCAUUCUCAGUUCGGAUUGUAGGCUGCAACUCGCCUACAUGAAGCCGGAAUCGCUAGUAAUCGCGGAUCAGCAUGCCGCGGUGAAUACGUUCCCGGG